AACAUCGCGCACCUGCGGGAACCUGCGGAAGGAUCAUUACAGAGUUGCAAAACUCCCUAAACCAUUGUGAACGUUACCUAAACCGUUGCUUCGGCGGGCGGCCCGGGUCCUUCCCGGCGCCCAUCGGCCCUCGCGGGCGCCCGCCGGAGGUAAACCAAACUAUUGCAUUGUAUGGCCUCUCUGAGUCUUCUGUACUGAAUAAGUCAAAACUUUUAACAACGGAUCUCAGAUCGGAAGAGC
Molecule: unclassified non-coding RNA, 240 nt
Filed under: soil metagenome
Description: partial contains 5.8S ribosomal RNA, internal transcribed spacer 2, and large subunit ribosomal RNA
Source: RNAcentral